AAUGCAUUAUGAGAACUCCAGUCGUUUCUUUAUGGCAUGGCCAUGGGCGGAGACCAGGACGACAGAGGAACACAGGAAGUUGUGCGCUGCCACGCAGAUGAGUGUAGGAAGCUUUUAUUGGAAUUUAGUAAAACUCUUACCCAGCAUUCUGUUCUGGUGUCUUUUUGCGAGCCCGCAUUGUUUGGACAUAAAAUUCCAAAGUGCUUGGAAUUCACAGUCUUCCGUGAUGACUAUGCUGCUGACUUCCUGCGUUGCCUUUGUCCCUGUGGCAGGGGCAACUUAGUCCUUCCGAUGCAGAUGGUGUCAAGGAGUGGAACAUGAUUGGGUGGGCUUCCUCCCUAGCUGCCAUAGCUUCCUCGUCAGGACUCACGUUCGACAAAUCAAUACGGGGAAUGCUUGCGAUUCCAAUACACAUAUUAGGUUUAAUUAAAAAAGUUCGUCGUUGUUUCGGAACAAUUGAUUCUCCAAAUAGACAUCAUGACAUUUCAUUCUUCCUGUCGGCCAGUCACAUAAUUCCUUUGAAAUUGGCAUCGCUGCUCUGGGGCUCAGAGUCCCGGUUGACCCAAAAUCCGGAACAUUUUUCCCAACUCCCACUUAAGCAACCCAACAUUCGACCAUUAGACCUGAAUCUUAUAAAUUAUUCAGUUAAUGCUUUUAAUUAUACAAACGCAUCCUCCCACCUCA
This is a long non-coding RNA of Drosophila ananassae, 684 nucleotides long. RefSeq lists it as uncharacterized. The transcript has 2 exons. Lineage: Eukaryota; Metazoa; Arthropoda; Insecta; Diptera; Drosophilidae. The record is from RefSeq and is a predicted model, not a curated record.